UCCAAAAGACAGGUUUUGCAUAUAAUCUAGAUGGAAUGCAUUCUUCAUUUUGCCAAACACCAAGCUAGCCCCAUGUGAGAGAAGUUGGAUUUGGGUAAGAAAUGAAACCAGUGUGAAAUUGGGUAAUGGCAAACAGGUAUGUAUCUUCUAUAUCACUAUGAAGUAUUGAGUGGAACAUCCUGAAGAUUCAAAACAUGUAAAUCCUGGCUGGGUCCCUGGACCAAAUAUUAUCAAGUUCGAUAAUAUAUGUUUGUGGCCUCAUGAACCAACCUGCAAAGAACUUUUUAAAAGAAUUUCAACUUCAUUUUGCUUGCAAGAAAAUUUGUUUCGGUGUUUUGCAGUUACAACUAUAUAUCGACACACAUUCUUCCUCCUAUUUUGCCAACAACCUUGUGAAGUGAGUUGAACUGGGAAGGAGUAGCUGUGCCACAGUCACUCUCAAAUAAAAUUUAAUUCAAAUUAAUUAAUUUAAUAAGUAUUUGAUAAAUCUAAUAAAUGUCUAAUAAAAUUUGUCCAAAAAUAUG
Long non-coding RNA from Ahaetulla prasina, 524 nucleotides. RefSeq lists it as uncharacterized. The record is from RefSeq and is a predicted model, not a curated record. The transcript has 2 exons. NCBI's taxonomy places the organism in Eukaryota, Metazoa, Chordata, Lepidosauria, Squamata, Colubridae.